RNAcentral lists this long non-coding RNA (628 nucleotides) under Selaginella moellendorffii. RNAcentral's name for it is "long non-coding RNA (SMOE_LNC002037)". The record is from RNAcentral. Lineage: Eukaryota; Viridiplantae; Streptophyta; Lycopodiopsida; Selaginellales; Selaginellaceae.
GAAGGCAUGAAAGGAUAUCGCCUUUAUUCUCUCAAGCGCAAAACGUUGCUGGAAAGACGGGAUGUGCUCGUUGAUGAGAGCAAGCUGUACAAGGAUCGCGCUGAAGUUCCUGCUCCUACUUUCGUGGAACUCUAGCUGGUGGACACAGUUCACGUGACUACAGCUCCUUCUCAAGUCCCGUUGCUGCCUCUUGCUCCUGCUGGUGGUAACGUGGUGGUUCCUCCAGCACUGCCACCACGCCCUCCAGCUACGCCUCUGCAAGAAUCUCCUCCAGUGAGAACACCUAGCUUCUCUGAAGAACUGAUGAACACUUACUUCGAGGGCGACGAGGAAUUUCAAGCUGCUCCUGAGUUCUUCCUCAGCUCAUCUUCACUGGGAGCUGGACGUGGAUCAUCACCUUCAGUGGGAGCUGGAAGCAGGUCGCCAACUUCAGUGGGAGCUCUCCCAGACUCUCCACUUGUUCCACCACCUGUGAUCCACCCUCCAGCACGUCCUGAACCACGGCGCUCUGCUUGAGUUCCCGUACCAUCUAGGCUGCAAUUGGAAGCUGAGCAAUCUCGUCCCUUCUUUAGUUUUGGAAAAAUUAAAAAGAAAGGAACACACCAGGCUAACUUCGUGGCUGCUAAUC